AUUGAACGCUGGCGGCAUGCCUUACACAUGCCAGUCGAACGGCAGCACGGGUGCUUGCACCUGGUGGCGAGUGGCGAACGGGUGAGUAAUACAUCGGAACAUGUCCUGUAGUGGGGGAUAGCCCGGCGACAGCCGGAUUAAUACCUCAUACGAUCUACGGAUGAAAGCGGGGGCCCUUCGGGCCUCGCGCUAUAGGGUUGGCCGAUGGCUGAUUAGCUAGUUGGUGGGGUAAAGGCCUACCAAGGCGACGAUCAGUAGCUGGUCUGAGAGGACGACCAGCCACACUGGGACUGAGACACGGCCCAGACUCCUACGGGAGGCAGCAGUGGGGAAUUUUGGACAAUGGGCGAAAGCCUGAUCCAGCAAUGCCGCGUGUGUGAAGAAGGCCUUCGGGUUGUAAAGCACUUUUGUCCGGAAAGAAAUCCUUGGCCCUAAUACGGUCGGGGGAUGACGGUACCGGAAGAAUAAGCACCAGCUAACUACGU
RNAcentral lists this ribosomal RNA (485 nucleotides) under uncultured bacterium. Its description in RNAcentral is "partial 16S ribosomal RNA". It matches the Rfam family "Bacterial small subunit ribosomal RNA", at positions 30 to 506 of the family's 1533-position model. The record is from RNAcentral.